Molecule: ribosomal RNA, 253 nt
Filed under: uncultured bacterium
Lineage: Bacteria
Description: partial 16S ribosomal RNA
Rfam family: Bacterial small subunit ribosomal RNA
Source: RNAcentral
UACGUAGGGUGCAAGCGUUGCCCGGAUUUAUUGGGCGUAAAGGGCGCGUAGGCGGCUCGGCACGUCCGUUGUGAAAUCGCCCGGCUCAACUGGGCGGGGUCAGCGGAUACGGUCGAGCUUGAGCAAGCUAGGGGGCAAUGGAAUUCCCGGUGUAGUGGUGGAAUGCGUAGAUAUCGGGAGGAACAUCAGUGGCGAAGGCGGUUGCCUGGGGCGGUACUGACGCUGAGACGCGAAAGCGUGGGGAGCGAACAGG